Molecule: ribosomal RNA, 1495 nt
Filed under: uncultured bacterium
Lineage: Bacteria
Description: 16S ribosomal RNA
Rfam family: Bacterial small subunit ribosomal RNA
Source: RNAcentral
GCCUAACACAUGCAAGUCGAGCGGCAGCACGGGAAGCUUGCUUCCUGGUGGCGAGCGGCGGACGGGUGAGUAAUGCAUAGGAAUCUGCCCGAUAGUGGGGGAUAACCUGGGGAAACCCAGGCUAAUACCGCAUUCGCCCUACGGGGGAAAGCAGGGGCUCUUCGGACCUUGCGCUAUCGGAUGAGCCUAUGUCGGAUUAGCUGGUUGGUGAGGUAAAGGCUCACCAAGGCGACGAUCCGUAGCUGGUCUGAGAGGAUGAUCAGCCACAUCGGGACUGAGACACGGCCCGAACUCCUACGGGAGGCAGCAGUGGGGAAGAUUGGACAAUGGGCGCAAGCCUGAUCCAGCCAUGCCGCGUGUGUGAAGAAGGCCUUAGGGUUGUAAAGCACUUUCAGUGGGGAAGAAAGCCUUUCGGUUAAUACCCGGGAGGAAGGACAUCACCCACAGAAGAAGCACCGGCUAACUCCGUGCCAGCAGCCGCGGUAAUACGGAGGGUGCGAGCGUUAAUCGGAAUUACUGGGCGUAAAGCGCGCGUAGGUGGCUUGAUAAGCCGGUUGUGAAAGCCCCGGGCUCAACCUGGGAACGGCAUCCGGAACUGUCAGGCUAGAGUGCAGGAGAGGAAGGUAGAAUUCCCGGUGUAGCGGUGAAAUGCGUAGAGAUCGGGAGGAAUACCAGUGGCGAAGGCGGCGUUCUGGACUGACACUGACACUGAGGUGCGAAAGCGUGGGUAGCAAACAGGAUUAGAUACCCUGGUAGUCCACGCCGUAAACGAUGUCGACUAGCCGUUGGGUCCUUCGCGGACUUUGUGGCGCAGUUAACGCGAUAAGUCGACCGCCUGGGGAGUACGGCCGCAAGGUUAAAACUCAAAUGAAUUGACGGGGGCCCGCACAAGCGGUGGAGCAUGUGGUUUAAUUCGAUGCAACGCGAAGAACCUUACCUACCCUUGACAUCCUGCGAACCCUUCGGAGACGAAGGGGUGCCUUCGGGAACGCAGAGACAGGUGCUGCAUGGCUGUCGUCAGCUCGUGUUGUGAAAUGUUGGGUUAAGUCCCGUAACGAGCGCAACCCUUGUCCUUAUUUGCCAGCGAGUAAAGUCGGGAACUCUAAGGAGACUGCCGGUGACAAACCGGAGGAAGGUGGGGACGACGUCAAGUCAUCAUGGCCCUUACGGGUAGGGCUACACACGUGCUACAAUGGUCGGUACAAAGGGUUGCGAACUUGCGAAAGUGAGCUAAUCCCAGAAAGCUGAUCUCAGUCCGGUUCGGAGUCUGCAACUCGACUCCGUGAAGUCGGAAUCGCUAGUAAUCGUGAAUCAGAAUGUCACGGUGAAUACGUUCCCGGGCCUUGUACACACCGCCCGUCACACCAUGGGAGUGGACUGCUCCAGAAGUGGUUAGCCUAACCUUCGGGAGGGCGAUCACCACGGUGUGGUUCAUGACUGGGGUGAAGUCGUAACAAGGUAGCCGUAGGGGAACCUGCGGCUGGAUCACCUCCUU